AUGUGAAAAUUACAAAUCUAUAUAAUAAUUUAUCACUGACGAGGUUGUAUCGAUAAGGUAAUAUCGAUAUGUUAGUUAUCUGUGGUGAAUAAGUGACGUUAGAGGACGCGCAAUCGGCAUUACUGUCAUUGGCAUCGGAAGGUCACCGACAGUCGUCUCGUAUCGCCCUGAAAGUGGUUUCAAAGUCUAGAAGUAGAAUUGAUGGUAUUGGGAUUAAAUUGUGAUAUUUAUUUCGUUAAGAUUUGGGCUCCGUUCGGUUAUUCUUGUUCUCUUAUUACUUUACGUGUAUGUGCUCUGUGUGUGUGUGUGUGUGUGUGUGUGUGUGAGAGAUCGAAGGACUUAUGGUGCCUUCCGAUUGCUUCGAAUCGCGUAUUGAUUAUUGCUGUGCUUUUGUUCAUCUAUUUUAUUAGAGACGCUAAACUUUUCUUACAUUUGAUUCUCACAAAGGUGAUAUAACUUGUAUAAAACUGAACAAGAUUUAUUAGUAGGUUAUUUAAACACUCCUUGUUCAUUCCGCGUUAGUCUCCCGCAUCUGAUUCGGUCUUUUCCAUUAUUUAUUAUGUACUCCAGUCUUCCAUGUUGAGAGAACUUUUGUUUGCGUAUAUGCCUAAGUUCGGUUCCAUAACUUUAGCUCCUUUCAUGUAUUGUUGGAGGAAGUUUGUGACUAUGCUGUCCCAAUUCAUCACUUACGGUAUUAUCCAAGAUUUAAGAUUAUAGGUGGAGAGGGACCAAGUGAUCGGUUAAAUACUUGUGCGCUUUCAUUGUUACAACCAUCUAUAAUACAUCAAAUCCUGCGAUAACUACUUUUGUGAAGACGAUUUCAUGUUUAACUUGUCAAUAAGAAACCUGUCAAGUUUGUUGCGUUCAACCUGAAUAACUGUUCAGAUCCUCUUUAUUUAUUCUUAACACAACAUGCUUAUUAGAAAUGCAUCUCUAUGUUUAGUGGCUUUCAAUCUUUUUGUUCAUACUAGAUCCUUAGUUUCUACAGAUUUGUAGUAGGGACAUACACACAAAAAAUCAAGCGCGCGCUAGCUAAUGAUAAGAUCAUAAUAAAUUAUUAUAUCGUUAUAGUUACUGAUUAAUCUGAAACCUCCUUUCAAGUUUUUCAUUAUUACCACACACAGUAGGAUCAACUAGUGCCAUUGUCCAAAGUUGGAGAAGAGUAAGACUAUUGUCAAGACAUCAUAACAUGCUAAUAACAUGCGCCUUUCUGCAUUUUUUUAAUGAACUCGCUCAAUAUGAAUAGGCAAUUAUUGUCGAUAGCGUCUUAUCUAUAAGUUCAAUGGCUUAACUUGAUUAGAUCGUCUAAAUACCUAUUUCUAAUCCCCAUUAAGUAAUAGCUAUGUGAAUUAUAUAAAUCAUAUCUUUUCCUUCCUUUGUAUGUCAUAUUAGUGUUAAAGAGAAUCUAUCGCGUUUUGAUGUCUUGACAAGGAUGCUUUACCAUUGUCAGGGUUAUGAUAUUAAACAUCCUUAUUGGAAGGUCUUCUUGGCGCUAUUGGGCCUGUGCAGAAAAUCAUUAAUUACUGACUUAUCGAAACAAACAUGAUCAUAUAAAUUGGACCCUUCAAUCUGCGAAUAGCAUGGUACAUAGAUAAGUUUAGAAAUGCAACAGGACUUAUGCGAUUAGGUUAAUUAGAACUUGAAAAGUUAUUUUUCGAAUUUCUAUUAUAGUGAUAUGGUGUAAGAACAUGAUAUAUUAUAACUUACUUUGUAUAGCAUGAAUACCAUAUAUUUUGUAUAUCAUAAAUUAUAUUGUUAUAUAAAACUGGUGGUUAUAAGAUUAUUGUUAGAACAAUACUCAAUGAUAACCGAUGAAGAAAAAAUUUUAAUAAUAUUUAUUAAUCUUUUUCGUAAGGUAAUGUAUAAGUUAUUGUCUGGUUCUUACUUCUUGUGAAGAAUAAUAGAUAACACAUAACUGGAUUGUCAAGGACAUCAAUAAAUUCAAAGAAAUUAUUAUUAUGUUUACAAUAACCAAAAACUAUCACUAAUCUAAUUGCUCAUAUAAAAUGAAAUAUAAUAAUCCAAUAAGAUUGUCCUAUAAUUUAUCACCGCAGGAAUUAUUUUGCAGAACUUUUAGCUUCAACUAGAAAUAUUUUAAAGCAUUUCUCAGAUGUGCAUUCAAAUAUUUAAUGAAAAUUUUACGUACAAAUAUUGAUGCACUUCUUGUGUCAUUUCUAAAUAUUUUUAUUCACUUUUUAGGAGCAUAAGGAAUAAUUUAGCAGCAUUCUUAAUUACACAAGAAAAUAAUUUAGAGAACAAUACAAGUACGUCUUCAUAUAUUUAGAAGUAAUUUACCAUACAUCUAAUAAUUUACAUCUAGCAGCAUCUGUUAAUGUUUCUUCGAACUUCAGUAGGUGGUAAGGAAUAAUAUAAAAUACUUUAAAGACACUCCUUCAUUGAUUAAAACUAAAUUACCCAACACAAUAUACAGGACCUCUAGGGCAUCUGUUAAUGUUCCUUCGCGUUUCCGAAAGUGGUAAGAAUAAUAUAGAGAAGAAUAAAGCUACUUCAUUUAAUUGAAUGCAGAUUACAGAACACAUUAUAAGGAAAGUCGAACGCUAUCUCUUAGUGAUCCAUCGAACUUCGGAACGCGGAAAUGAAUGAUAUAAGGAAUAAUAAAGUGCUCAUUAAUAUAAUUAAAGGUAAGUUAGAAAACACCUUAUAAGGCAUCUGUAACUCAUCUGUUAAUGAACCUUUGUACUUAGGAAGACUGUACGACAAAUAUAGAGAAGAAUAAAGCUAGUCCUCAUUUAAUUGUAUGUACAUUACAGGACACAUUAUAAGGAAUGUCUAAGGCUUCUGUUAAUGAUCUUUUGCACUUUGGAAGUCGGUGAGGAAUAAUAUAAGGAAUUAUAAAGGGCUCCUUCUUAUAAUUAAAAUUAUACUACGUUACACCUUAUAAGGCAUCUCUGAAGGAUCUGCUAAUGAACUUUCGUACUUAGGAAAGCAGUAAGAAUAAUAUAGAGCAGAAUAAAGCUAGUCUUCAUUUAAUUGAAUGCACGUUACAGAACACAUUAUAAGGCAAGCCUAUGGCUCCUGUUAAUGAUCCUCUGCACUUAGGAACGCGGUAGGAAUAAUACAGAGAAGAAUAAAGCGACACUUCAUUUAAUUGAAUGUACAUUACGGAACACAUUAUAAAGCACGCAUAAGGCUUCUAUUAAUGAUCUUCCGAACUGUCGGAAGGCAUCAAGGAAUAAUAUAAUGAAUAAUCAGGCGCAGAUUAAUAUAAUUAAAACUAUAUUACGAAACUCAUUAUGAGGCUAGUCGAUAGCUAUCCCUUAGUCACACUAACAACUUCAGUAUACUGAAAUGAAUAAUAAGGACCUCAUUAAUAUAAUUAAAAAUACCUUAAGAAACACAUUAUAAGGCAAGUCAAACGCUAUCCCUUCGUGACCCUUUGAACUUCAGAACCUGGAAAGGAAUAAUAAGGCGCUCAUUAAUAUAAUUAAAAAUACAUUACGAAACUCACUAUAAGGCAAGUCGAGCGCCAUCUCUGAACAUUCCCAGAACUUCGUAAAGCGGAAAGGAAUAAUAUAGGGAAUAAUAAAGCUCUCCUUAUUACAAUUAAAAAUACAGUACGAAACACAUUAUAAGGCAAGUCUUACGCUAUCUCUUCUAACCCUUCGAACUUCGGAACUCCGAAAUGAAUAAUAUGAGGAACAAUAAGGUCCUCAUUAAUAUUAUUAAAAAUACUUUACGAAGCACAUUAUAAGGCAGUCGAAACAUAUCUCUUUGUUAUCCUUCGAACUUAGGAUCACGGAAAGGAAUAAUAUAAUGAAUAAUAAAGUGCUCAUUAAUAUAAUUAAAAGUACAUUAGGAAACACGUUAUAAGGCACAUCGAAGGCUUCUUGUAAUGAUGCUUCGUACUGCUAAAGGCGAUAAGGAAUAAUAUAAGGAAUUAUAAAAAUAGGAAAGGAAUACGAUAAGGUCCACGUUAAUGGAAUUAAAUGUACAUUAAGAAACAAACAAUUGGAAGAGUGUCUUGCCUUCCGUUCGAGAUAUAUCGAACUCCAGAAGGCGGAAAGGAAUACGAUAAGGUCCACGUUAAUGGAAUUAAAUGUACAUUAAGAAACAAACAAUUAGAAGAGUGUCUUGCCUUCCGUUCGAGAUAUAUCGAACUCCAGAAGGCGGAAAGGAAUACGAUAAGGUCCACGUUAAUAGAAUUAAAUAUACAUUAUGAAACAAGCAAUUAGAAGAGUGUCUUGCCUUCCUUUCAAGAUAUAUUGAACUCCAGAAGGUGGACAGGAAUACGAUAUGGCCAUCAUUAAUAGAAAUAAAUGUACAUCAAGAAACAAGCAUUUAGAAGAGUGUCUUGCAUUCCGUUCGAGAUAUAUCGAACUCCAGCAGACCGAAAGGAAUACGAUAAGGUCCACGUUAAUGGAAUUAAAUGUACAUCAAGAAACAAACAAUUGGAAGAGUGUCUUGCCUUCGGUUCGAGAUAUAUCGUACUCCAGAAGGCGGAAAGGAAUACGAUAAGGUCCACGUUAAUGGAAUUAAAUGUACAUUAAGAAACAAACAAUUGGAAGAGUGUCUUGCCUUCCCUUCGAGAUAUAUCGAACACCAGAAGGCGGAAAGGAAUACGAUAAGGUCCUCAUUAAUAGAAAUAAACGUACAUUAAGAAACAAACAAUUUGAAGAGUGUCUUGCAUUCCGUUCGAGAUAUAUCGAACUCCAGAAGGCGGAAAGGAAUACGAUAAGGUCCUCAUUAAUAGAAAUAAACGUACAUUAAGAAACAAACAAUUUGAAGAGUGUCUUGCAUUCCGUUCGAGAUAUAUCGAACUCCAGAAGGCGGAAAGGAAUACGAUAAGGUCCACGUUAAUAGAAUUGAAUGUACAUUAAGAAACAAGCAAUUAGAAGAGUGUCCUGCCUCCCGUUCGAUAUAUAUCGAACUCUAGAAGGCGGAAAGGAAUACGAUAAGGUCCACGUUCAUAGAAUUAAAUGUACAUUAAGAAACAAGCAAUUAGAAGAGUGUCCUGCCUCCCCUUCGAGAUAUAUCGAACUCUAGAAGGCGGAAAGGAAUACGAUAAAGUCCACGUUAAUAGAAUUAAAUGUACAUUAAGAAACAAGCAAUUAGAAGAGUGUCCUGCCUUCCGUUCGAGAUAUAUCGAACUCCAGAAGGCGGAAAGGAAUACUAUAAGGUCCAAGUUAAUAGAAUUAAUUGUACAUUAAGAAACAAGCAAUUAGAAGAGUGUCCUGCCUCCCGUUCGAGAUAUAUCGAACUCUAGAAGGCGGAAAGGAAUACUAUAAGGUCCACGUUAAUAGAAUUAAAUAUACAUCAAGAAACAAGCAAUUAGAAGAGUGUCCUGCCUCCCAUUCGAGAUAUAUCGAACUUUAGAAGGCGGAAAGGAAUACGAUAAGGUCCACGUUAAUAGAAUUAAAUGUACAUUAAGAAGCAAGCAAUUAGAAGAGUGUCCUGCCUCCCGUUCGAGAUAUAUCGAACUCUAGAAGGCGGAAAGGAAUACUAUAAGGUCGACGUUAAUAGAAUUAAAUGUACAUUCAGAAACAAGCAAUUAGAAGAGUGUCCUGCCUCCCGUUCGAGAUAUAUCGAACUCUACAAGGCGGAAAGGAAUACGAUAAGGUCCACGUUAAUAGAAUUAAAUGUACAUUAAGAAACAAGCAAUUAGAAGAGUGUCCUGCCUCCCGUUCGAGAUAUAUCGAACUCCAGAAGGCGGAAAGGAAUACUAUAAAGUCCACGUUAAUAGAAUUAAAUGUACAUUAAGAAACAAGCAAUUAGAAGAGUGUCCUGCCUCCCCUUCGAGAUAUAUCGAACUCUAGAAGGCGGAAAGGAAUACGAUAAAGUCCACGUUAAUAGAAUUAAAUGUACAUUAAGAAACAAGCAAUUAGAAGAGUGUCCUGCCUCCCGUUCGAGAUAUAUCGAACUCCAGAAGGCGGAAAGGAAUACUAUAAGGUCCACGUUAAUAGAAUUAAAUGUACAUCAAGAAACAAGCAAUUAGAAGAGUGUCCUGCCUCCCAUUCGAGAUAUAUCGAACUCUAGAAGUCGGAAAGGAAUACUAUAAGGUCCACUUUAAUAGAAUUAAAUGUACAUUAAGAAACAAGCAAUUAGAAGAGUGUCCUGCCUCCCGUUCGAGAUAUAUCGAACUCUAGAAAGCGGAAAGGAAUACGAUAAGGUCGACGUUAAUAGAAUUAAAUGUACAUUAAGAAACAAGCAAUUAGAAGAGUGUCCUGCCUUCCGUUCGAGAUAUAUCGAACUCUAGAAAGCGGAAUGGAAUACGAUAAGGUCCACGUUAAUAGAAUUAAAUGUACAUUAAGAAACAAGCAAUUAGAAGAGUGUCCUGCCUCCCGUUCGAGAUAUAUCGAACUCCAGAAGGCGGAAAGGAAUACUAUAAGGUCCACGUUAAUAGAAUUAAAUGUACAUCAAGAAACAAGCAAUUAGAAGAGUGUCCUGCCUCCCAUUCGAGAUAUAUCGAACUCUAGAAGGCGGAAAGGAAUACUAUAAGGUCCACGUUAAUAGAAUUAAAUGUACAUUCAGAAAAAAGCAAUUAGAAGAGUGUCCUGCCUCCCGUUGGAGAUAUAUCGAACUCCAGAAGGCGGAGAGGAAUACUAUAAAGUCCACGUUAAUAGAAUUAAAUGUACAUUAAGAAACAAGCAAUUAGAAGAGUGUCCUGCCUCCCGUUCGAGAUAUAUCGAACUCCAGAAGGCGGAAGGGAAUACUAUAAGGUCGACGUUAUUAGAAUUAAAUGUACAUUAAGAAACAAGCAAUUAGAAGAGUGUCCUGCCUCCCGUUCGAUAUAUAUCGAACUCCGGAAGGCGGAAAGGAAUACGAUAAGGUCCACGUUAAUAGAAUUAAAUGUACAUUAAGAAACAAGCAAUUAGAAGAGUGUCCUGCCUCCCGUUCGAGAUAUAUCGAACUCCAGAAGGCGGAAAGGAAUACUAUAAGGUCCACGUUAAUAGAAUUAAAUGUACAUUAAGAAACAAGCAAUUAGAAGAGUGUCCUGCCUCCCGUUCGAUAUAUAUCGAACUCCGGAAGGCGGAAAGGAAUACGAUAAGGUCCACGUUAAUAGAAUUAAAUGUACAUUAAGAAACAAGCAAUUAGAAGAGUGUCCUGCCUCCCGUUCGAGAUAUAUCGAACUCCAGAAGGCGGAAAGGAAUACUAUAAGGUCCACGUUAAUAGAAUUAAAUGUACAUUAAGAAACAAGCAAUUAGAAGAGUGUCCUGCCUCCCGUUCGAGAUAUAUCGAACUCCAGAAGGCGGAAAGGAAUACUAUACGUUCCACGUUAAUAGAAUUAAAUGUACAUUAAGAAACAAGCAAUUAGAAGAGUGUCCUGCCUCCCGUUCGAGAUAUAUCGAACUCUAGAAGGCGGAAAGGAAUACUAUAAGGUCCACGUUAAUAGAAUUAAAUGUACAUUAAGAAACAAGCAAUUAGAAGAGUGUCCUGCCUCCCGUUCGAGAUAUAUCGAACUCCAGAAGGCGGAAAGGAAUACUAUACGGUCCACGUUAAUAGAAUUAAAUGUACAUUAAGAAACAAGCAAUUAGAAGAGUGUCCUGCCUCCCGUUCGAUAUAUAUCGAACUCCGGAAGGCGGAAAGGAAUACGAUAAGGUCCACGUUAAUAGAAUUAAAUGUACAUUAAGAAACAAGCAAUUAGAAGAGUGUCCUGCCUCCCGUUCGAGAUAUAUCGAACUCCAGAAGGCGGAAAGGAAUACUAUAAGGUCCACGUUAAUAGAAUUAAAUGUACAUCAAGAAACAAGCAAUUAGAAGAGUGUCCUGCCUCCCAUUCGAGAUAUAUCGAACUCUAGAAGGCAGAAACGAAUACUAUAAGGUCCACGUUAAUAGAAUUAAAUGUACAUUAAGAAACAAGCAAUUAGAAGAGUGUCCUGCCUCCUGUUCGAGAUAUAUCGAACUCCAGAAGGCGGAAAGGAAUACUAUAAGGUCCACGUUAAUAGAAUUAAAUGUACAUUAAGAAACAAGCAAUUAGAAGAGUGUCCUGCCUCCCGUUCGAGAUAUAUCGAACUCCAGAAGGCGGAAAGGAAUACUAUAAGGUCCACGUUAAUAGAAUUAAAUGUACAUUAAGAAACAAGCAAUUAGAAGAGUGUCCUCCCUCCCGUUCGAGAUAUAUCGAACUCCAGAAGGCGGAAGGGAAUACUAUAAGGUCGACGUUAAUAGAAUUAAAUGUAAAUUAAGAAACAAGCAAUUAGAAGAGUGUCCUGCCUCCCGUUCGAUAUAUAUCGAACUCCGGAAGGCGGAAAGGAAUACGAUAAGGUCCACGUUAAUAGAAUUAAAUGUACAUUAAGAAACAAGCAAUUAGAAGAGUGUCCUGCCUCCCGUUCGAGAUAUAUCGAACUCCAGAAGGCGGAAAGGAAUACUAUAAGGUCCACGUUAAUAGAAUUAAAUGUACAUUAAGAAACAAGCAAUUAGAAGAGUGUCCUGCCUCCCGUUCGAUAUAUAUCGAACUCCGGAAGGCGGAAAGGAAUACGAUAAGGUCCACGUUAAUAGAAUUAAAUGUACAUUAAGAAACAAGCAAUUAGGAGAGUGUCCUGCCUUCCGUUCGAGAUAUAUCGAACUCUAGAAGGCGGAAAGGAACACGAUAAGGUCCACGUUAAUAGAAUUAAAUGUACAUUAAGAAACAAGCAAUUAGAAGAGUGUCCUGCCUCCCGUUCGAGAUAUAUCGAACUCCAGAAGGCGGAAAGGAAUACUAUAAGGUCCACGUUAAUAGAAUUAAAUGUACAUCAAGAAACAAUCAAUUAGAAGAGUGUCCUGCCUCCCGUUCGAGAUAUAUCGAACUCCAGAAGGCGGAAAGGAAUACUAUAAGGUCCACGUUAAUAGAAUUAAAUGUACAUUAAGAAACAAGCAAUUAGAAGAGUGUCCUGCCUCCCGUUCGAGAUAUAUCGAACUCCAGAAGGCGGAAGGGAAUACUAUAAGGUCGACGUUAAUAGAAUUAAAUGUACAUUAAGAAACAAGCAAUUAGAAGAGUGUCCUGCCUCCCGUUCGAGAUAUAUCGAACUCCAGAAGGCGGAAAGGAAUACGUUAAGGUCCACGUUAAUAGAAUUAAAUGUACAUUAAGAAACAACCAAUUAGAAGAGUGUCCUGCCUCCCGUUCGAGAUAUAUCGAACUCUACAAAGCGGAAAGGAAUACUAUCAGGUCCACGUUAAUAGAAUUAAAUGUACAUUAAGAAACAAGCAAUUAGAAGAGUGUCCUGCCUCCCGUUCGAGAUAUAUCGAACUCUAGAAAGCGGAAAGGAAUACGAUAAGGUCCACGUUAAUAGAAUUAAAUGUACAUUAAGAAACAAGCAAUUAGAAGAGUGUCCUGCCUCCCGUUCGAGAUAUAUCGAACUCCAGAAGGCGGAAAGGAAUACUAUAAGGUCCACGUUAAUAGAAUUAAAUGUACAUUAAGAAACAAGCAAUUAGAAGAGUGUCCUGCCUCCCGUUCGAGAUAUAUCGAACUCCAGAAGGCGGAAAGGAAUACUAUACGUUCCACGUUAAUAGAAUUAAAUGUACAUUAAGAAACAAGCAAUUAGAAGAGUGUCCUGCCUCCCGUUCGAGAUAUAUCGAACUCUAGAAGGCGGAAAGGAAUACUAUAAGGUCCACGUUAAUAGAAUUAAAUGUACAUUAAGAAACAAGCAAUUAGAAGAGUGUCCUGCCUCCCGUUCGAGAUAUAUCGAACUCCAGAAGGCGGAAAGGAAUACUAUACGGUCCACGUUAAUAGAAUUAAAUGUACAUUAAGAAACAAGCAAUUAGAAGAGUGUCCUGCCUCCCGUUCGAUAUAUAUCGAACUCCGGAAGGCGGAAAGGAAUACGAUAAGGUCCACGUUAAUAGAAUUAAAUGUACAUUAAGAAACAAGCAAUUAGAAGAGUGUCCUGCCUCCCGUUCGAGAUAUAUCGAACUCCAGAAGGCGGAAAGGAAUACUAUAAGGUCCACGUUAAUAGAAUUAAAUGUACAUCAAGAAACAAGCAAUUAGAAGAGUGUCCUGCCUCCCAUUCGAGAUAUAUCGAACUCUAGAAGGCAGAAACGAAUACUAUAAGGUCCACGUUAAUAGAAUUAAAUGUACAUUAAGAAACAAGCAAUUAGAAGAGUGUCCUGCCUCCUGUUCGAGAUAUAUCGAACUCCAGAAGGCGGAAAGGAAUACUAUAAGGUCCACGUUAAUAGAAUUAAAUGUACAUUAAGAAACAAGCAAUUAGAAGAGUGUCCUGCCUCCCGUUCGAGAUAUAUCGAACUCCAGAAGGCGGAAAGGAAUACUAUAAGGUCCACGUUAAUAGAAUUAAAUGUACAUUAAGAAACAAGCAAUUAGAAGAGUGUCCUCCCUCCCGUUCGAGAUAUAUCGAACUCCAGAAGGCGGAAGGGAAUACUAUAAGGUCGACGUUAAUAGAAUUAAAUGUAAAUUAAGAAACAAGCAAUUAGAAGAGUGUCCUGCCUCCCGUUCGAUAUAUAUCGAACUCCGGAAGGCGGAAAGGAAUACGAUAAGGUCCACGUUAAUAGAAUUAAAUGUACAUUAAGAAACAAGCAAUUAGAAGAGUGUCCUGCCUCCCGUUCGAGAUAUAUCGAACUCCAGAAGGCGGAAAGGAAUACUAUAAGGUCCACGUUAAUAGAAUUAAAUGUACAUUAAGAAACAAGCAAUUAGAAGAGUGUCCUGCCUCCCGUUCGAUAUAUAUCGAACUCCGGAAGGCGGAAAGGAAUACGAUAAGGUCCACGUUAAUAGAAUUAAAUGUACAUUAAGAAACAAGCAAUUAGAAGAGUGUCCUGCCUCCCGUUCGAGAUAUAUCGAACUCCAGAAGGCGGAAAGGAAUACUAUAAGGUCCACGUUAAUAGAAUUAAAUGUACAUCAAGAAACAAGCAAUUAGAAGAGUGUCCUGCCUCCCAUUCGAGAUAUAUCGAACUCUAGAAGGCGGAAAGGAAUACUAUAAGGUCCACGUUAAUAGAAUUAAAUGUACAUCAAGAAACAAGCAAUUAGAAGAGUGUCCUGCCUCCCAUUCGAGAUAUAUCGAACUCUAGAAGGCGGAAAGGAAUACUAUAAGGUCCACGUUAAUAGAAUUAAAUGUACAUUAAGAAACAAGCAAUUAGAAGAGUCUCCUGCCUCCCGUUCGAGAUAUAUCGAACUCCAGAAGGCGGAAAGGAAUACUAUAAGGUCCACGUUAAUAGAAUUAAAUGUACAUCAAGAAACAAGCAAUUAGAAGAGUGUCCUGCCUCCCAUUCGAGAUAUAUCGAACUCUAGAAGGCGGAAAGGAAUACUAUAAGGUCCACGUUAAUAGAAUUAAAUGUACAUUAAGAAACAAGCAAUUAGAAGAGUGUCCUGCCUCCCGUUCGAGAUAUAUCGAACUCUAGAAUGCGGAAAGGAAUACUAUAAGGUCCACGUUAAUAGAAUUAAAUGUACAUUAAGAAACAAGCAAUUAGAAGAUUGUCCUGCCUCCCGUUCGAGAUAUAUCGAACUCCAGAAGGCGGAAAGGAAUACGAUAAGGUCCACGUUAAUAGAAUUAAAUGUACAUUAAGAAACAAGCAAUUAGAAGAGUGUCCUGCCUCCCGUUCGAGAUAUAUCGAACUCUACAAAGCGGAAAGGAAUACUAUCAGGUCCACGUUAAUAGAAUUAAAUGUACAUUAAGAAACAAGCAAUUAGAAGAGUGUCCUGCCUCCCGUUCGAGAUAUAUCGAACUCUAGAAGGCGGAAAGGAAUACUAUAAGGUCCACGUUAAUAGAAUUAAAUGUACAUUAAGAAACAAGCUAUUAGAAGAGUGUCCUGCCUCCCGUUCGAGAUAUAUCGAACUCUAGAAAGCGGAAAGGAAUACUAUAAGGUCCACGUUAAUAGAAUUAAAUGUACAUUAAGAAACAAGCAAUUAGAAGAGUGUCCUGCCUCCCGUUCGAGAUAUAUCGAACUCUCGAAGGCGGAAAGGAAUACUAUAAGGUCCACGUUAAUAGAAUUAAAUGUACAUUGAGAAACAAGCAAUUAGAAGAGUGUCCUGCCUCCCGUUCGAGAUAUAUCGAACUCUAGACAGCGGAAAGGAAUACUAUAAGGUCCACGUUAAUAGAAUUAAAUGUACAUUAAGAAACAAGCAAUUAGAAGAGUGUCCUGCCUCCCGUUCGAGAUAUAUCGAACUCUAGAAGGCGGAAAGGAAUACUAUAAGGUCCACGUUAAUAGAAUUAAAUGUACAUUAAGAAACAAGCAAUUAGAAGAGUGUCCUGCCUCCCGUUCGAGAUAUAUCGAACUCUACAAAGCGGAAAGGAAUACUAUCAGGUCCACGUUAAUAGAAUUAAAUGUACAUUAAGAAACAAGCAAUUAGAAGAGUGUCCUGCCUCCCGUUCGAGAUAUAUCGAACUCUAGACAGCGGAAAGGAAUACUAUAAGGUCCACGUUAAUAGAAUUAAAUGUACAUUCAGAAACAAGCAAUUAGAAGAGUGUCCUGCCUCCCGUUCGAGAUAUAUCGAACUCUACAAAGCGGAAAGGAAUACUAUCAGGUCCACGUUAAUGGAAUUAAAUGUACAUUAAGAAACAAGCAAUUAGAAGAUUGUCCUGCCUCCCGUUCGAGAUAUAUCGAACUCCAGAAGGCGGAAAGGAACACGAUAAGGUCCACGUUAAUAGAAUUAAAUGUACAUUAAGAAACAAGCAAUUAGAAGAGUGUCCUGCCUCCCGUUCGAGAUAUAUCGAACUCCAGAAGGCGGAAAGGAAUACGAUAAGGUCCACGUUAAUAGAAUUAAAUGUACAUUAAGAAACAAGCAAUUAGAAGAGUGUCCUGCCUCCCGUCCGAGAUAUAUCGAACUCUAGAAAGCGGAAAGGAAUACGAUAAGGUCCACGUUAAUAGAAUUAAAUGUACAUUAAGAAACAAGCAAUUAGAAGAAUGUCCUGCCUCCCGUUCGAGAUAUAUCGAACUCUAGAAAGCGGAAAGGAAUACUAUAAGGUCCACGUUAAUAGAAUUAAAUGUACAUUAAGAAACAAGCAAUUAGAAGAGUGUCCUGCCUCCCGUUCGAGAUAUAUCGAACUCUAGAAGGCGGAAAGGAACACGAUAAGGUCCACGUUAAUAGAAUUAAAUGUACAUUAAGAAACAAGCAAUUAGAAGAUUGUCCUGCCUCCCGUUCGAGAUAUAUCGAACUCCAGAAGGCGGAAAGGAAUACGAUAAGGUCCACGUUAAUAGAAUUAAAUGUACAUUAAGAAACAAGCAAUUAGAAGAGUGUCCUGCCUCCCGUUCGAGAUAUAUCGAACUCUACAAAGCGGAAAGGAAUACUAUCAGGUCCACGUUAAUAGAAUUAAAUGUACAUUAAGAAACAAGCAAUUAGAAGAGUGUCCUGCCUCCCGUUCGAGAUAUAUCGAACUCUAGAAGGCGGAAAGGAAUACUAUAAGGUCCACGUUAAUAGAAUUAAAUGUACAUUAAGAAACAAGCUAUUAGAAGAGUGUCCUGCCUCCCGUUCGAGAUAUAUCGAACUCUAGAAGGCGGAAAGGAAUACUAUAAGGUCCACGUUAAUAGAAUUAAAUGUACAUUAAGAAACAAGCAAUUAGAAGAGUGUCCUGCCUCCCGUUCGAGAUAUAUCGAACUCUACAAAGCGGAAAGGAAUACUAUCAGGUCCACGUUAAUAGAAUUAAAUGUACAUUAAGAAACAAGCAAUUAGAAGAGUGUCCUGCCUCCCGUUCGAGAUAUAUCGAACUCCAGAAGGCGGAAAGGAAUACGAUAAGGUCCACGUUAAUAGAAUUAAAUGUACAUUAAGAAACAAGCAAUUAGAAGAGUGUCCUGCCUCCCGUUCGAGAUAUAUCGAACUCUCGAAGGCGGAAAGGAACACGAUAAGGUCCACGUUAAUAGAAUUAAAUGUACAUUAAGAAACAAGCAAUUAGAAGAGUGUCCUGCCUCCCGUUCGAGAUAUAUCGAACUCUAGAAAGCGGAAAGGAAUACGAUAAGGUCGACGUUAAUAGAAUUAAAUGUACAUUAAGAAACAAGCAAUUAGAAGAGUGUCCUGCCUUCCGUUCGAGAUAUAUCGAACUCUAGAAGGCGGAAAGGAACACGAUAAGGUCCACGUUAAUAGAAUUAAAUGUACAUUAAGAAACAAGCAAUUAGAAGAGUGUCCUGCCUCCCGUUCGAGAUAUAUCGAACUCUAGAAAGCGGAAAGGAAUACUAUAAGGUCCACGUUAAUAGAAUUAAAUGUACAUUAAGAAACAAGCAAUUAGAAGAGUGUCCUGCCUCCCGUUCGAGAUAUAUCGAACUCUCGAAGGCGGAAAGGAAUACUAUAAGGUCCACGUUAAUAGAAUUAAAUGUACAUUAAGAAACAAGCAAUUAGAAGAGUGUCCUGCCUUCCGUUCGAGAUAUAUCGAACUCUAGAAGGCGGAAAGGAACACGAUAAGGUCCACGUUAAUAGAAUUAAAUGUACAUCAAGAAACAAGCAAUUAGAAGAGUGUCCUGCCUCCCAUUCGAGAUAUAUCGAACUCUAGAAAGCGGAAAGGAAUACUAUAAGGUCCACGUUAAUAGAAUUAAAUGUACAUUAAGAAACAAGCAAUUAGAAGAGUGUCCUGCCUCCCGUUCGAGAUAUAUCGAACUCUAGAAAGCGGAAAGGAAUACUAUAAGGUCCACGUUAAUAGAAUUAAAUGUACAUUAAGAAACAAGCAAUUAGAAGAGUGUCCUGCCUCCCGUUCGAGAUAUAUCGAACUCUCGAAGGCGGAAAGGAAUACUAUAAGGUCCACGUUAAUAGAAUUAAAUGUACAUUAAGAAACAAGCAAUUAGAAGAGUGUCCUGCCUUCCGUUCGAUAUAUAUCGAACUCUAGAAGGCGGAAAGGAACACGAUAAGGUCCACGUUAAUAGAAUUAAAUGUACAUCAAGAAACAAGCAAUUAGAAGAGUGUCCUGCCUCCCAUUCGAGAUAUAUCGAACUCUAGAAAGCGGAAAGGAAUACUAUAAGGUCCACGUUAAUAGAAUUAAAUGUACAUUAAGAAACAAGCAAUUAGAAGAGUGUCCUGCCUCCCGUUCGAGAUAUAUCGAACUCUAGAAAGCGGAAAGGAAUACGAUAAGGUCGACGUUAAUAGAAUUAAAUGUACAUUAAGAAACAAGCAAUUAGAAGAGUGUCCUGCCUUCCGUUCGAGAUAUAUCGAACUCUAGAAGGCGGAAAGGAACACGAUAAGGUCCACGUUAAUAGAAUUAAAUGUACAUUAAGAAACAAGCAAUUAGAAGAGUGUCCUGCCUCCCGUUCGAGAUAUAUCGAACUCUAGAAAGCGGAAAGGAAUACUAUAAGGUCCACGUUAAUAGAAUUAAAUGUACAUUAAGAAACAAGCAAUUAGAAGAGUGUCCUGCCUCCCGUUCGAGAUAUAUCGAACUCUCGAAGGCGGAAAGGAAUACUAUAAGGUCCACGUUAAUAGAAUUAAAUGUACAUUAAGAAACAAGCAAUUAGAAGAGUGUCCUGCCUUCCGUUCGAUAUAUAUCGAACUCUAGAAGGCGGAAAGGAACACGAUAAGGUCCACGUUAAUAGAAUUAAAUGUACAUCAAGAAACAAGCAAUUAGAAGAGUGUCCUGCCUCCCAUUCGAGAUAUAUCGAACUCUAGAAAGCGGAAAGGAAUACUAUAAGGUCCACGUUAAUAGAAUUAAAUGUACAUUAAGAAACAAGCAAUUAGAAGAGUGUCCUGCCUCCCGUUCGAGAUAUAUCGAACUCUAGAAAGCGGAAAGGAAUACGAUAAGGUCCACGUUAAUAGAAUUAAAUGUACAUUAAGAAACAAGCAAUUAGAAGAGUGUCCUGCCUUCCGUUCGAGAUAUAUCGAACUCUAGAAGGCGGAAAGGAACACGAUAAGGUCCACGUUAAUAGAAUUAAAUGUACAUUAAGAAACAAGCAAUUAGAAGAGUGUCCUGCCUCCCGUUCGAGAUAUAUCGAACUCUAGAAAGCGGAAAGGAAUACUAUAAGGUCCACGUUAAUAGAAUUAAAUGUACAUUAAGAAACAAGCAAUUAGAAGAGUGUCCUGCCUCCCGUUCGAGAUAUAUCGAACUCUCGAAGGCGGAAAGGAAUACUAUAAGGUCCACGUUAAUAGAAUUAAAUGUACAUUGAGAAACAAGCAAUUAGAAGAGUGUCCUGCCUCCCGUUCGAGAUAUAUCGAACUCUAGACAGCGGAAAGGAAUACUAUAAGGUCCACGUUAAUAGAAUUAAAUGUACAUUAAGAAACAAGCAAUUAGAAGAGUGUCCUGCCUCCCGUUCGAGAUAUAUCGAACUCUAGAAGGCGGAAAGGAAUACUAUAAGGUCCACGUUAAUAGAAUUAAAUGUACAUUAAGAAACAAGCAAUUAGAAGAGUGUCCUGCCUCCCGUUCGAGAUAUAUCGAACUCUACAAAGCGGAAAGGAAUACUAUCAGGUCCACGUUAAUAGAAUUAAAUGUACAUUAAGAAACAAGCAAUUAGAAGAGUGUCCUGCCUCCCGUUCGAGAUAUAUCGAACUCCAGAAGGCGGAAAGGAAUACGAUAAGGUCCACGUUAAUAGAAUUAAAUGUACAUUAAGAAACAAGCAAUUAGAAGAGUGUCCUGCCUCCCGUUCGAGAUAUAUCGAACUCUAGACAGCGGAAAGGAAUACUAUAAGGUCCACGUUAAUAGAAUUAAAUGUACAUUAAGAAACAAGCAAUUAGAAGAGUGUCCUGCCUCCCGUUCGAGAUAUAUCGAACUCUAGAAAGCGGAAAGGAAUACUAUAAGGUCCACGUUAAUAGAAUUAAAUGUACAUUAAGAAACAAGCAAUUAGAAGAGUGUCCUGCCUCCCGUUCGAGAUAUAUCGAACUCUCGAAGGCGGAAAGGAAUACUAUAAGGUCCACGUUAAUAGAAUUAAAUGUACAUUAAGAAACAAGCAAUUAGAAGAGUGUCCUGCCUUCCGUUCGAUAUAUAUCGAACUCUAGAAGGCGGAAAGGAACACGAUAAGGUCCACGUUAAUAGAAUUAAAUGUACAUCAAGAAACAAGCAAUUAGAAGAGUGUCCUGCCUCCCAUUCGAGAUAUAUCGAACUCUAGAAAGCGGAAAGGAAUACUAUAAGGUCCACGUUAAUAGAAUUAAAUGUACAUUAAGAAACAAGCAAUUAGAAGAGUGUCCUGCCUCCCGUUCGAGAUAUAUCGAACUCUAGAAAGCGGAAAGGAAUACGAUAAGGUCCACGUUAAUAGAAUUAAAUGUACAUUAAGAAACAAGCAAUUAGAAGAGUGUCCUGCCUUCCGUUCGAGAUAUAUCGAACUCUAGAAGGCGGAAAGGAACACGAUAAGGUCCACGUUAAUAGAAUUAAAUGUACAUUAAGAAACAAGCAAUUAGAAGAGUGUCCUGCCUCCCGUUCGAGAUAUAUCGAACUCUAGAAAGCGGAAAGGAAUACUAUAAGGUCCACGUUAAUAGAAUUAAAUGUACAUUAAGAAACAAGCAAUUAGAAGAGUGUCCUGCCUCCCGUUCGAGAUAUAUCGAACUCUCGAAGGCGGAAAGGAAUACUAUAAGGUCCACGUUAAUAGAAUUAAAUGUACAUUAAGAAACAAGCAAUUAGAAGAGUGUCCUGCCUUCCGUUCGAUAUAUAUCGAACUCUAGAAGGCGGAAAGGAACACGAUAAGGUCCACGUUAAUAGAAUUAAAUGUACAUCAAGAAACAAGCAAUUAGAAGAGUGUCCUGCCUCCCAUUCGAGAUAUAUCGAACUCUAGAAAGCGGAAAGGAAUACUAUAAGGUCCACGUUAAUAGAAUUAAAUGUACAUUAAGAAACAAGCAAUUAGAAGAGUGUCCUGCCUCCCGUUCGAGAUAUAUCGAACUCUAGAAAGCGGAAAGGAAUACGAUAAGGUCCACGUUAAUAGAAUUAAAUGUACAUUAAGAAACAAGCAAUUAGAAGAGUGUCCUGCCUUCCGUUCGAGAUAUAUCGAACUCUAGAAGGCGGAAAGGAACACGAUAAGGUCCACGUUAAUAGAAUUAAAUGUACAUUAAGAAACAAGCAAUUAGAAGAGUGUCCUGCCUCCCGUUCGAGAUAUAUCGAACUCUAGAAAGCGGAAAGGAAUACUAUAAGGUCCACGUUAAUAGAAUUAAAUGUACAUUAAGAAACAAGCAAUUAGAAGAGUGUCCUGCCUCCCGUUCGAGAUAUAUCGAACUCUCGAAGGCGGAAAGGAAUACUAUAAGGUCCACGUUAAUAGAAUUAAAUGUACAUUGAGAAACAAGCAAUUAGAAGAGUGUCCUGCCUCCCGUUCGAGAUAUAUCGAACUCUAGACAGCGGAAAGGAAUACUAUAAGGUCCACGUUAAUAGAAUUAAAUGUACAUUAAGAAACAAGCAAUUAGAAGAGUGUCCUGCCUCCCGUUCGAGAUAUAUCGAACUCUAGAAGGCGGAAAGGAAUACUAUAAGGUCCACGUUAAUAGAAUUAAAUGUACAUUAAGAAACAAGCAAUUAGAAGAGUGUCCUGCCUCCCGUUCGAGAUAUAUCGAACUCUACAAAGCGGAAAGGAAUACUAUCAGGUCCACGUUAAUAGAAUUAAAUGUACAUUAAGAAACAAGCAAUUAGAAGAGUGUCCUGCCUCCCGUUCGAGAUAUAUCGAACUCCAGAAGGCGGAAAGGAAUACGAUAAGGUCCACGUUAAUAGAAUUAAAUGUACAUUAAGAAACAAGCAAUUAGAAGAGUGUCCUGCCUCCCGUUCGAGAUAUAUCGAACUCUACAAAGCGGAAAGGAAUACUAUCAGGUCCACGUUAAUGGAAUUAAAUGUACAUUAAGAAACAAGCAAUUAGAAGAUUGUCCUGCCUCCCGUUCGAGAUAUAUCGAACUCCAGAAGGCGGAAAGGAACACGAUAAGGUCCACGUUAAUAGAAUUAAAUGUACAUUAAGAAACAAGCAAUUAGAAGAGUGUCCUGCCUCCCGUUCGAGAUAUAUCGAACUCCAGAAGGCGGAAAGGAAUACGAUAAGGUCCACGUUAAUAGAAUUAAAUGUACAUUAAGAAACAAGCAAUUAGAAGAGUGUCCUGCCUCCCGUCCGAGAUAUAUCGAACUCUAGAAAGCGGAAAGGAAUACGAUAAGGUCCACGUUAAUAGAAUUAAAUGUACAUUAAGAAACAAGCAAUUAGAAGAGUGUCCUGCCUCCCGUUCGAGAUAUAUCGAACUCUAGAAAGCGGAAAGGAAUACUAUAAGGUCCACGUUAAUAGAAUUAAAUGUACAUUAAGAAACAAGCAAUUAGAAGAGUGUCCUGCCUUCCGUUCGAGAUAUAUCGAACUCUAGAAGGCGGAAAGGAACACGAUAAGGUCCACGUUAAUAGAAUUAAAUGUACAUUAAGAAACAAGCAAUUAGAAGAGUGUCCUGCCUCCCGUUCGAGAUAUAUCGAACUCCAGAAGGCGGAAAGGAAUACGAUAAGGUCCACGUUAAUAGAAUUAAAUGUACAUUAAGAAACAAGCAAUUAGAAGAGUGUCCUGCCUCCCGUCCGAGAUAUAUCGAACUCUAGAAAGCGGAAAGGAAUACGAUAAGGUCCACGUUAAUAGAAUUAAAUGUACAUUAAGAAACAAGCAAUUAGAAGAGUGUCCUGCCUCCCGUUCGAGAUAUAUCGAACUCUAGAAAGCGGAAAGGAAUACUAUAAGGUCCACGUUAAUAGAAUUAAAUGUACAUUAAGAAACAAGCAAUUAGAAGAGUGUCCUGCCUCCCGUUCGAGAUAUAUCGAACUCUAGAAGGCGGAAAGGAACACGAUAAGGUCCACGUUAAUAGAAUUAAAUGUACAUUAAGAAACAAGCAAUUAGAAGAUUGUCCUGCCUCCCGUUCGAGAUAUAUCGAACUCCAGAAGGCGGAAAGGAAUACGAUAAGGUCCACGUUAAUAGAAUUAAAUGUACAUUAAGAAACAAGCAAUUAGAAGAGUGUCCUGCCUCCCGUUCGAGAUAUAUCGAACUCUACAAAGCGGAAAGGAAUACUAUCAGGUCCACGUUAAUAGAAUUAAAUGUACAUUAAGAAACAAGCAAUUAGAAGAGUGUCCUGCCUCCCGUUCGAGAUAUAUCGAACUCUAGAAGGCGGAAAGGAAUACUAUAAGGUCCACGUUAAUAGAAUUAAAUGUACAUUAAGAAACAAGCAAUUAGAAGAGUGUCCUGCCUCCCGUUCGAGAUAUAUCGAACUCCAGAAGGCGGAAAGGAAUACGAUAAGGUCCACGUUAAUAGAAUUAAAUGUACAUUAAGAAACAAGCAAUUAGAAGAUUGUCCUGCCUCCCGUUCGAGAUAUAUCGAACUCCAGAAGGCGGAAAGGAACACGAUAAGGUCCACGUUAAUAGAAUUAAAUGUACAUUAAGAAACAAGCAAUUAGAAGAGUGUCCUGCCUCCCGUUCGAGAUAUAUCGAACUCUAGAAAGCGGAAAGGAAUACUAUAAGGUCCACGUUAAUAGAAUUAAAUGUACAUU
This is a long non-coding RNA of Vespula vulgaris, 20236 nucleotides long. RefSeq lists it as uncharacterized. Lineage: Eukaryota; Metazoa; Arthropoda; Insecta; Hymenoptera; Vespidae. The transcript has 15 exons. The record is from RefSeq and is a predicted model, not a curated record.